CUCGGAAAUAGCUGCAAAAAAAGGGGUUUAAGGGAGAUUUGCUAAGGUCAUUGUGCAAGUUGUUUGUUGGACAAUUAUCAAGUAGGCCUUAUGACAUUGUACUUAAAAUUCUAAGAACUGUGGAUAUUGAUGAGCCAACAUUAGGAUGCGUCCACACUAAAUGUGGAAAUAUGACCUUUUAUUCCUUUUUGGACCUUGUCACAAUGAUGUAUUACUCUGUUAUGAAAGGCUCUUAUUGCCAAUAUGUAUCACGUGUAAUUAUAUAACUUGUACUGACCAAUCAUAAGUACUGUAAACAUCUUCAUUAUUUUGAUACUCCUAUAAUGAGAUAUCUAUAAAAUAAACUGCUGGGGGUGGUCUAAGUAGAUCUCCUCAGACAUAUCUAUCUGCAUGUGUCUGUGUAUUUCUCGGCCGAGCUAAUUAAUCAAUCUCUGCUUACCUAAAGAACCACU
This is a long non-coding RNA of Bufo bufo (common toad), 452 nucleotides long. RefSeq lists it as uncharacterized. Lineage: Eukaryota; Metazoa; Chordata; Amphibia; Anura; Bufonidae. The record is from RefSeq and is a predicted model, not a curated record. The transcript has 5 exons.